This 96-nucleotide microRNA precursor is filed under the name Nicotiana sylvestris (wood tobacco). RNAcentral describes it as "MIR6152 microRNA precursor family". It matches the Rfam family "MIR6152 microRNA precursor family". Lineage: Eukaryota; Viridiplantae; Streptophyta; Magnoliopsida; Solanales; Solanaceae. The record is from Rfam by way of RNAcentral.
UAGACAUAUUUUUGUAUUCGACUGUAUUCACGCAUGAAACAGGGGAUUACAAUUGUUUUUAAAUGAAAAGUGAAUCAAUUAACAUAAUAGACUCCU